GCAUUGGUGGUUCAGUGGCAGAAUUCUCGCUUGCCAAGUGGGGGACCCGGGUCCGAUUCCCGGCCAAUGCA
Molecule: non-coding RNA, 71 nt
Organism: Dunckerocampus dactyliophorus (ringed pipefish)
Lineage: Eukaryota; Metazoa; Chordata; Actinopteri; Syngnathiformes; Syngnathidae
Source: the annotation of a RefSeq genome assembly